GCAUAGCCUACUGCACGCCUAGGCUGUAUGUUAUUACUCUGAUGGGACCACUGUCAUAUGUGGUUUGUCAUUGAAGGAAACUUCGUUACACAGCACAUGACUAGUCUGGGUUUUUUUUAAAGCACAUUCAUUUAAAUUGGCCAUUUAGCAACUGGCUUUUGAGCAACUGACCUGGAGCUGCUACUACCUGCCAUCUGGGUGAGGAGAAAGAAGCUGCUGAUUAUUGUCCCCUGUUUGUGAUGUCAGGAAGCAGAGCAUUGAGAUCACAAAACACCAGUGUGGAGCCAGGCAUCUGAGGCCACUGUGUGGGUAUCUUCUGAUGGUCCUGGAGACGCCUGCUGACACUUCACUCUGCUCUUUGGGGCUUUCCCCAGAAGACUGUGGGAUGGACCCCAGCCUAGGGGAUGCUAAGAUGAAUACCAAAAGAGCUCAUUUCAUUCAUCUGCCGUGUUAGCAUCAAACAUCUACUCAAGCCUUGAAACCUGAGAAGGAGAAGCCCUCUGUCCCUAGGAUUAAGGGAUAGGGGAAUGAAAUAGAUUUCCUGUAUCAAACAUUACACUCUAGUAGAUGAGCCUCCUCUUUAAGAAGCUGUCUUCAAGUGUGCUUAAUUUUGCCUCAAUCGGGUAAAAGAAUUGAGUUCUUGAGAGCUACAUGUUUUCAUCAGUAACUCAGGGCUAUCCAUCAUGUCAAGACACUUAAACAGAGGUGAGAUUUGAAGCUGUGAAAGAGAAUGACCAAGGAAGAGGCAGAAGGAAAAUGAGAGGUAACCACUGAAGGAGAUAGACGUGGUCAUGGAGGUUCAAUUGGAGCGGCUCAUGCUCUAGACACAAAGGGCGGAGAGGGAGAAGCUGGUAGAUCCGAAAGAAGUCGUUAGAAUCUGAAUACUAUUGUGUGUCUCCACCACCAAAAAGAACAUUUAUCAAGAGUAAUUAGGCAAAUUGAGGGUAUGAACCCCAGAAGAAACAAUGUAUUUUGACAAGAAAAAUUGGUUGGCAAAUGUUAAGGUUUUUAUGAGUAAUCAAGAUGAUUCUUUAAGUAAUUAUAAUUUGUUCUAUACCCUGUCAUGGUUGUUUUGAUUUGUGGCUUUUAUCAGUGAAUAAAGUUAUUUAGUUUUCCUUAUUUUUAGGAAGACUCACAGUAUUGAAAUACGUCAAAUGCCAAUGAUGUUAGAUUUCUUGAAUAUUUUCCCUUUUUUAGUGCCUGAUGAGUCAUUGGACUAUCAUUCCAUCCCAGGAACAUUACGGUGACACCAGUCUUAGUCACGAAACCAUUGCUGUGCCAGGGGGCGGGGAGCAGGAUAUGGGAAGAAGUCUACACAAUGAGAAGAAUCUGGUUUAAUCUUAAAGUUGGAAUUAUUACCUACAUUUUUAAAGCAAAUUUAUUUUAAGGUAGAUUUCCAAAUCUCCAAUUGCUCAGCUGCCCUAUUAUCAUUCUGUGCCCAGAGGCACAAAGUCUUGGGUUUCGGGGAUAUGCAAUUUGGAGGCUAUAGCUUCACAAUUCAAUAUUCUUUUCAGCAGCAUGAGGAAUGGGGUUUGGAGGAUUACCCUACAGGAAGGUUCAGUGUAGUCAUUGAAAGUAAGCUUCAUGUCACCACAGAAGCAUAAGGCUGGAGCACAUCUAAAGGCGAGCAGGUUCAACCUCUCACUGAAAUAUAAAGCUCGUAGUAACGAGGCUCUUAGAAACUUUCCCACGGAGGAGACAAACACCAAAUGGUUGUUGAUUAGUAAAGUAUUUGGGUUAGUAAAGCAUUGCAUACUAUUGAAAAAUCUAAACAGAAAAGCUGUUUUCAAACAUGAUAAAUAGGUCAAAGAGUUCUUCUGUAAGAAGUAAGACAGCUUCCCUUGUCAUGAUAUAAUGCAUCAAAAUACAACAAAAUAUUGGGACUUUGGCUUUUCAGUGGGAAAAUGAAUUACAAGUGGAAAAUCUAGCAGUACUGACUUUGGUUUUCGCUCCUUGUCAGAACUGGGUGCUCAAGGAUUUGAUAAUGGCCCAGGAAGUUGACUUGAGUGGUAACAUUUUGAUUCAUGGACACUUGAAGCAGCCUGAGAAAUAAAUCCUAUGCCUUUAGUUUCUCCCCUCAUCCCUGACCUCUGUCUGCAUCCGCAGGUGGUGAUGGGAAGGAGAAGGUGUGUCCCUUAUGGCUUCACUUUUCUCCAUGAAGUAGAAGGUUCUCUAUCCCAUUCUCAUGGCUAUAGAUUGGUCAGGUCAGAUGUCUACAUGGACAUUAUUUUGAGCUUUGAAAUAAUCUUAUUUUAGGUAUUAUUUUGUUGCAACAUCUCAGUUUUAAGUGGAUUGAGAAGUAUGGCCUCUGUGUUUCCCUAGGUGUUCCUAUUUCAUUGUAAUUAGCUAAUGCUUUGAAUUACUAAACAGCUUUAGAAACAAAGUAAAUUCUCAUAGAAGCUCUAUAAAAAAUAGUUCCAUUUUACAUAAAUCGCAUAUACAGAGAUUGAAAAAGACCCCCAAACAAGGAGAUCUAGAAGAAACUGGCCAUUUAAUCUAGUUAAACAAUUAGUCAGUUCUGGCAAUCAGUUUUAAUCGUUUUUCAAGAAAUUGACUGCAGCUGCCAAUUGCUUUGGCCUUUUUAUAGCUGUAACAUGAUGAUAAGAUAAGGCUUUCUACCUGAUUAUCUGUAUGCUUUUCUCUAAAUUCUUUCCUUUUUUUGUCUGUAAAUUGAUUAUUUAAUGAGCAAAUAUUAUUUUACUUGGUUCUGACUAUUAAUUGUCAAUUUUUUACUAUUAAUCAAAGUUAGAAGGAGGAAAAUUAUUCUUUGACUGGUUAGUGAUUUAACGUUAUAAGAAGUUUUCUGGUGCUCAGAAAAAUCUUAUCUAAACCAACAUCUUUUACAAUGGAGAAAACUGAAAUUCAUUUUCCUAUUCAGAUGUUACUUUCAUUUUUAUUGUUGAUG
This 2905-nucleotide long non-coding RNA is filed under the name Equus caballus (horse). Its description in RNAcentral is "lncRNA (ENSECAG00000053708.1)". Lineage: Eukaryota; Metazoa; Chordata; Mammalia; Perissodactyla; Equidae. The record is from RNAcentral.